RNAcentral lists this long non-coding RNA (393 nucleotides) under Equus asinus (donkey). RNAcentral's name for it is "lncRNA (ENSEASG00005026247.1)". Lineage: Eukaryota; Metazoa; Chordata; Mammalia; Perissodactyla; Equidae. The record is from RNAcentral.
CUUAGAGAGGGCAAACAGUCCUUCCAGACACGUCACCGGCCUAGGACUGAUUUCAUUCUCUUGCUGGGAAGGGCUGAUAACAUCUUGCGAUUAAAUUUGCGUGUUAGCACAGCCUUUACAAAGAACUGAAAUGUGCCACUGAGUGUCAUUUAGACUCAGUCAAGCUGGAUUUUAUAAAGAAGAAUGUGUUGGAGGAGAGCAAUAUGGCUGUGAGUGUCAUGUCACCAUCAAACAACACUGGAGCCUAACCGAUCUAAAGAAGCAAUCCUGGCACAUGGAAGAUGCCAUCACUCGGGAAUUGGACGACAUACAACCUUCCUUGAGUGACAUUCGUUGAUGGAGCAGGUGUUCUGCAAAAGACUGGAGCACGAAAGGAAUGAAGCUGUCUUUCAG